RNAcentral lists this ribosomal RNA (1760 nucleotides) under Sphaerospora testicularis. Its description in RNAcentral is "SSU rRNA". It matches the Rfam family "Eukaryotic small subunit ribosomal RNA". The record is from RNAcentral. Lineage: Eukaryota; Metazoa; Cnidaria; Myxozoa; Bivalvulida; Sphaerosporidae.
ACCUGGUUGAUCCUGCCAGUGAAUUGUACGCUCGUCGAAAAGACUAAGCCAUGCAUGUAUAAGUUCAUAUCGAUUAAAGAUGAAACUGCGAAGCGCUCAGUAAAUCAGUUAUAAUCUAUUCAAAAAAAAAGAAUGGAUAACUAUGGUAAAUCUAUAGCUAAUACAUAUGCUUCGGCGUAAAGUUAUUGAAUAAAACUGUAUAUGUUAUGAAAAGAAAUAACUGAGAAUCGCAUAGUAAAACUAGCGAUGUUUUGAUCGAAUAUCUGGCCUAUCAACUUGUUGGUAAGGUAGUGGCUUACCAAGGUGAUGACGGGUAACGGGGAAUCAGGGUUCGGUUCCGGAGAGGGAGCCUGAGAGACGGCUACCACUUCCAAGGAAGGCAGCAGGCGCGUAAAUUACCCAAUCCAGACAUUGGGAGGUAGUUACGAGAAAUAUCAAGACGGGAUAAAAUUUCGUCAUUGAAAUGAACAGAAUGUAAAAAAGAUGUUGAGUAGCAACUGGAGGGCAAGUCUGGUGCCAGCAGCCGCGGUAAUUCCAGCUCCAGUAGUGUACUUCAAAAUUGUUGCGGUUAAAACGCUCGUAGUCGAAUUUGAAGAAUAUGACUUUGAAGUUUUGAUUGUGAAAACAAGUGUAAAACGUAAAAGUGGUAUUCUUAUGUGACAAGUUUUAAUUGUGGACUUGACUGUUUGUGAUUAAAUACUUGUGAGGCGUGCCUUGAAUAAAGCAGAGUGCUUAAAGCAAGUGUGAAUCGCUGGUAUGUGAUAGCAUGGAACGUAAAUGUUUGUCAGGUGUGCCUAGUUGAUAGUAAUCUAGGUGCCUUGGUGGUUAAGAGGGACACUUGAGGGCGUUAGUACUUGGUGGCGAGAGGUGAAAUUCUUAGACCCCCCAAAGACUGGCAAAUGCGAAGGCGUUCGCCAAGAGUGUUUCCAUUGAUCAAGAACGAAAGUUGGAGGUUCGAAGACGAUCAGAUACCGUCCUAGUUCCAUACAGUAAACUAUGCCAACACGCGAUCAGUCUGAACAAAAGAUUGAGGUUGGUCGCCCAGGGAAACUGAAAGUGUUCUGGUUCCGGGGAGAGUAUAAAUGCAAGUUUGAAAUUUAAAACGGAAUUGACGGAAAGGCACCACCAGGAGUGGAGCCUGCGGCUUAAUUUGACUCAACACGGGGCAACUCACCAGAUCCGUACAUCGGCAGGAUUGACAGACUGAUAGAUCUUUCAUGAUUCGAUGAUUGGUGGUGCAUGGCCGUUCUUAGUUGGUGGAGUGAUCUGUCAGGUUUAUUCCGGUAACGAGCGAGACCACGAUUUCUAGUUGAUUGCAGAGAUGCAGUUAAUGGAUGACUUGUUGUUCAUUGUGUCGAUGAUCCUAGAGAGACAACCGGAGAACCAAGCCGGGGGAAGCGUGGCAAUAACAGGUCUGUGAUGCCCUUCGAUGUUCUGGGCUGCACGCGCGCUACAAUGGCAGUGACAGAAAGAAGCAAAGUCGAGAGAUGAUGCUAAUCGUGAAUAACUGUCGUGAUUGGGAUUGAGCUUUGCAAAUAGCUCAUGAAAGAGGAAUUCCUCGUAAGCGCGAGUCACCAACUCGUGUUGAAUACGUCUCUGCCUUUUGUACACACCGUCCGUCGCUACUACUGAUUGAAUUGGUUUUUGAAGAGCAAGGAUUGGCGUUCGUGUAUAUGGAUGCCGAGAAUCGCUUUAAAAAAGCCGUUUGAGAGGAAGUAAAAGUCGUAACAAGGCUUCCGUAGGUGAACCUGCGGAAGAAG